GCCAUCGUAGCUCAGUUGGCAGAGCACUGCUUUCGUAAAGCAGGGGUCGGCGGUUCGACUCCGCCCGAUGGCUCCA
This 76-nucleotide transfer RNA is filed under the name Candidatus Uhrbacteria bacterium RIFOXYA2_FULL_41_8. RNAcentral's name for it is "tRNA-Thr". It matches the Rfam family "tRNA". From Rfam's summary of the family: Transfer RNA (tRNA) molecules are approximately 80 nucleotides in length. Their secondary structure includes four short double-helical elements and three loops (D, anti-codon, and T loops). Further hydrogen bonds mediate the characteristic L-shaped molecular structure. tRNAs have two regions of fundamental functional importance: the anti-codon, which is responsible for specific mRNA codon recognition, and the 3' end, to which the tRNAs corresponding amino acid is attached (by aminoacyl-tRNA synthetases). tRNAs cope with the degeneracy of the genetic code in two manners: having more than one tRNA (with a specific anti-codon) for a particular amino acid; and 'wobble' base-pairing, i.e. permitting non-standard base-pairing at the 3rd anti-codon position. Lineage: Bacteria; Candidatus Uhriibacteriota. The record is from RNAcentral. RNAcentral also lists the same sequence under 2 other names.